GGGGCGGUAGCUCAGCUGGGAGAGCACCACACUGGCAGUGUGGGGGUCCGGGGUUCGAUCCCCCGUCGCUCCACCC
This 76-nucleotide transfer RNA is filed under the name Deltaproteobacteria bacterium. RNAcentral describes it as "tRNA-Ala". It matches the Rfam family "tRNA". From Rfam's summary of the family: Transfer RNA (tRNA) molecules are approximately 80 nucleotides in length. Their secondary structure includes four short double-helical elements and three loops (D, anti-codon, and T loops). Further hydrogen bonds mediate the characteristic L-shaped molecular structure. tRNAs have two regions of fundamental functional importance: the anti-codon, which is responsible for specific mRNA codon recognition, and the 3' end, to which the tRNAs corresponding amino acid is attached (by aminoacyl-tRNA synthetases). tRNAs cope with the degeneracy of the genetic code in two manners: having more than one tRNA (with a specific anti-codon) for a particular amino acid; and 'wobble' base-pairing, i.e. permitting non-standard base-pairing at the 3rd anti-codon position. Lineage: Bacteria; Pseudomonadati; Myxococcota; Myxococcia. The record is from RNAcentral.